This 222-nucleotide unclassified non-coding RNA is filed under the name Hevea brasiliensis (rubber tree). Lineage: Eukaryota; Viridiplantae; Streptophyta; Magnoliopsida; Malpighiales; Euphorbiaceae. The record is from RNAcentral.
GAGACCUUAAAAAGCAUGAGAGUCUUGAAACUGCACUCAUGGGAGUCAACUUUCUUGAAGAAGCUGCUUCAACUAAGAGAAAAUGAGAGGGGUUGGCUUAAGAGAUACCUUUAUACAUGUUCUGCUGUAGCUUUCCUAUUUUGGGCCUCGCCAACGCUCGUCUCAGUUGUAACCUUUGGUGUUUGUAUCAUCUUAAAAACACCAUUAACCUCGGGAGCAGUU